CAGGCCCAGGGAGAGGACAGGAGGGAACCUCAGCCGGCCGGCGCCUCUAUUGGACCGAACUCUAAGCCUCUAGUUUGGUGCUUCUUGCGCUGAUGCCUGCCGGCUCUCGCAGGGGACGGUCUGAGUCCCGGAGGUGCUGCAGAGUGAGGUCCCCCCACCCGAGGAGGACGCCCACAGCCCUGCCUCCACCAUCCACGCCCCCUCUCCUGUGCAAGACUCAGGCCGCCACGCGGAAGGCAAGCAACAAAAUCGAUGAGGAAACUGAGGCGGAAAGCAGACACCGUACUUGUGAGUGACUAGACCCAGGCAGUGUGACCCCAAGCUCUGUGCUCUUAACACCCUGCUGUCUCUCGGUGACAGGAAAUGGCUUAUCGAAGACCUCAUGGCAACUUCAUGGCUAUUUCCUUCACAGUACAGAGUUACGGAGCAGGGGCAGUAUUUGGAGUAAAGCUGUAACAGAAGACAGAAAAAUAAAUCUGCAAGAAUGAUUAAGUGAUUCCCAGAAUGAGUCUCCACAAUUACAGAUUAUCCCAGCUGGAAAGACUCUGGAGUCACAGACUCGACAUCCCAUUUCACAGAAGGGUAACUAAGCUCCUAAGUGGGCCCCAAGUCCUCGAAUAAAUGACGGGACCAAGCUUAAAACCCAGGUCUCCAGCCUAGUCGGAGGCUCUAAUCAACCCCGCCGCCUUGGGCUUCAGUUCCUCCUUCCAGAGAAUCCGGCAUCCCUCCCUGUGUCAGGGAGUGGGGGGGACAAAGGUCUGCAGAAGGCCCUUCUGACUGAGCUCUGA
Molecule: long non-coding RNA, 788 nt
Organism: Zalophus californianus (California sea lion)
Lineage: Eukaryota; Metazoa; Chordata; Mammalia; Carnivora; Otariidae
Exons: 3
Source: RefSeq, a predicted model, not a curated record